CAGCAUACAAUAAAUAACCAGGAUCCGAUAUAAAGUGAUGUCGGAAACAUAAGAGCAUGGCUGGAUGUUGGGAUGUGUAAAUGCCAUCCAUUAUUUGGCUAGAGGAGUUAAAUCUGCCCUAAGGAUGUUCACUGGUGCUCCAUUAGGGUUUCUCUGAAAAUGCCUCCCUGGGAUGCAAAUCACUCGCUCAAUGCCUCAUAAUCC
RNAcentral lists this long non-coding RNA (204 nucleotides) under Vigna radiata. RNAcentral describes it as "long non-coding RNA (VRAD_LNC013523)". Lineage: Eukaryota; Viridiplantae; Streptophyta; Magnoliopsida; Fabales; Fabaceae. The record is from RNAcentral.